This 497-nucleotide ribosomal RNA is filed under the name uncultured bacterium. RNAcentral's name for it is "partial 16S ribosomal RNA". It matches the Rfam family "Bacterial small subunit ribosomal RNA", at positions 28 to 507 of the family's 1533-position model. The record is from RNAcentral.
GAUGAACGCUGGCGGCGUGCCUAAUACAUGCAAGUCGAGCGAACAGACGAGGAGCUUGCUCCUCUGACGUUAGCGGCGGACGGGUGAGUAACACGUGGAUAACCUACCUAUAAGACUGGGAUAACUUCGGGAAACCGGAGCUAAUACCGGAUAAUAUAUUGAACCGCAUGGUUCAAUAGUGAAAGACGGUUUUGCUGUCACUUAUAGAUGGAUCCGCGCCGCAUUAGCUAGUUGGUAAGGUAACGGCUUACCAAGGCAACGAUGCGUAGCCGACCUGAGAGGGUGAUCGGCCACACUGGAACUGAGACACGGUCCAGACUCCUACGGGAGGCAGCAGUAGGGAAUCUGCAGCAAUGGGCGAAAGCCUGACGGAGCAACGCCGCGUGAGUGAUGAAGGUCUUCGGAUCGUAAAACUCUGUUAUUAGGGAAGAACAAAUGUGUAAGUAACUAUGCACGUCUUGACGGUACCUAAUCAGAAAGCCACGGCUAACUACGUG